Small nucleolar RNA from Ornithorhynchus anatinus (platypus), 137 nucleotides. The record is from RefSeq and is a predicted model, not a curated record. Lineage: Eukaryota; Metazoa; Chordata; Mammalia; Monotremata; Ornithorhynchidae.
CCCCUCUCAGGGUUGCACCUGGAGAGUUUCCAGUACUCUACCAGUCUUGGCUACGGGAGGGAAAGUCAAGCAGACUAAUUCCAUUCCAUUCCUAGCUUGGCCAGUGGUUAGAGAGUGGAAGGCAAUCAGCCACAAGU